GGGUUGUGAGGUUAAGCGACUAAGCGUACACGGUGGAUGCCCUGGCAGUCAGAGGCGAUGAAGGACGUGCUAAUCUGCGAUAAGCGUCGGUGAGGUGAUAUGAACCGUUAUAACCGGCGAUUUCCGAAUGGGGAAACCCAGUGUGUUUCGACACACUAUCAUUAACUGAAUCCAUAGGUUAAUGAGGCGAACCGGGGGAACUGAAACAUCUAAGUACCCCGAGGAAAAGAAAUCAACCGAGAUUCCCCCAGUAGCGGCGAGCGAACGGGGAGGAGCCCAGAGCCUGAAUCAGUGUGUGUGUUAGUGGAAGCGUCUGGAAAGGCGUGCGAUACAGGGUGACAGCCCCGUACACAAAAAUGCACAUAUUGUGAGCUCGAUGAGUAGGGCGGGACACGUGGUAUCCUGUCUGAAUAUGGGGGGACCAUCCUCCAAGGCUAAAUACUCCUGACUGACCGAUAGUGAACCAGUACCGUGAGGGAAAGGCGAAAAGAACCCCGGCGAGGGGAGUGAAAAAGAACCUGAAACCGUGUACGUACAAGCAGUGGGAGCCUCUUAAUGGGGUGACUGCGUACCUUUUGUAUAAUGGGUCAGCGACUUAUAUUCUGUAGCAAGGUUAACCGAAUAGGGGAGCCGAAGGGAAACCGAGUCUUAACUGGGCGUUAAGUUGCAGGGUAUAGACCCGAAACCCGGUGAUCUAGCCAUGGGCAGGUUGAAGGUUGGGUAACACUAACUGGAGGACCGAACCGACUAAUGUUGAAAAAUUAGCGGAUGACUUGUGGCUGGGGGUGAAAGGCCAAUCAAACCGGGAGAUAGCUGGUUCUCCCCGAAAGCUAUUUAGGUAGCGCCUCGUGAAUUCAUCUCCGGGGGUAGAGCACUGUUUCGGCAAGGGGGUCAUCCCGACUUACCAACCCGAUGCAAACUGCGAAUACCGGAGAAUGUUAUCACGGGAGACACACGGCGGGUGCUAACGUCCGUCGUGAAGAGGGAAACAACCCAGACCGCCAGCUAAGGUCCCAAAGUCAUGGUUAAGUGGGAAACGAUGUGGGAAGGCCCAGACAGCCAGGAUGUUGGCUUAGAAGCAGCCAUCAUUUAAAGAAAGCGUAAUAGCUCACUGGUCGAGUCGGCCUGCGCGGAAGAUGUAACGGGGCUAAACCAUGCACCGAAGCUGCGGCAGCGACACUAUGUGUUGUUGGGUAGGGGAGCGUUCUGUAAGCCUGUGAAGGUGGCCUGUGAGGGUUGCUGGAGGUAUCAGAAGUGCGAAUGCUGACAUAAGUAACGAUAAAGCGGGUGAAAAGCCCGCUCGCCGGAAGACCAAGGGUUCCUGUCCAACGUUAAUCGGGGCAGGGUGAGUCGACCCCUAAGGCGAGGCCGAAAGGCGUAGUCGAUGGGAAACAGGUUAAUAUUCCUGUACUUGGUGUUACUGCGAAGGGGGGACGGAGAAGGCUAUGUUGGCCGGGCGACGGUUGUCCCGGUUUAAGCGUGUAGGCUGGUUUUCCAGGCAAAUCCGGAAAACCAAGGCUGAGGCGUGAUGACGAAGCACUACGGUGCUGAAGCGACAAAUGCCCUGCUUCCAGGAAAAGCCUCUAAGCAUCAGGUAACAUCAAAUCGUACCCCAAACCGACACAGGUGGUCAGGUAGAGAAUACCAAGGCGCUUGAGAGAACUCGGGUGAAGGAACUAGGCAAAAUGGUGCCGUAACUUCGGGAGAAGGCACGCUGAUAUGUAGGUGAAGCGACUUGCUCGUGGAGCUGAAAUCAGUCGAAGAUACCAGCUGGCUGCAACUGUUUAUUAAAAACACAGCACUGUGCAAACACGAAAGUGGACGUAUACGGUGUGACGCCUGCCCGGUGCCGGAAGGUUAAUUGAUGGGGUUAGCGGUAACGCGAAGCUCUUGAUCGAAGCCCCGGUAAACGGCGGCCGUAACUAUAACGGUCCUAAGGUAGCGAAAUUCCUUGUCGGGUAAGUUCCGACCUGCACGAAUGGCGUAAUGAUGGCCAGGCUGUCUCCACCCGAGACUCAGUGAAAUUGAACUCGCUGUGAAGAUGCAGUGUACCCGCGGCAAGACGGAAAGACCCCGUGAACCUUUACUAUAGCUUGACACUGAACAUUGAGCCUUGAUGUGUAGGAUAGGUGGGAGGCUUUGAAGUGUGGACGCCAGUCUGCAUGGAGCCGACCUUGAAAUACCACCCUUUAAUGUUUGAUGUUCUAACGUU
RNAcentral lists this ribosomal RNA (2212 nucleotides) under Escherichia coli. Its description in RNAcentral is "partial 23S ribosomal RNA". It matches the Rfam family "Bacterial large subunit ribosomal RNA", at positions 1 to 2229 of the family's 2925-position model. The record is from RNAcentral. Lineage: Bacteria; Pseudomonadati; Pseudomonadota; Gammaproteobacteria; Enterobacterales; Enterobacteriaceae.